Molecule: non-coding RNA, 24 nt
Filed under: Arabidopsis thaliana (thale cress)
Lineage: Eukaryota; Viridiplantae; Streptophyta; Magnoliopsida; Brassicales; Brassicaceae
Source: RNAcentral
UAUAUCUGGUGUAACACUAUUCAC